Molecule: long non-coding RNA, 1202 nt
Organism: Gopherus flavomarginatus (Mexican gopher tortoise)
Lineage: Eukaryota; Metazoa; Chordata; Testudines; Testudinidae
Exons: 2
Source: RefSeq, a predicted model, not a curated record
CCCUCCAUAUUCAAAAGGCCCUCCUGCACCCACCCAGACAACAAAGGAUCCAAGCCAGACUUAACCCUAUUACAGAAGGAAAAAGGAUGCAAAGUGGUUCUGCAGAUACCCUACCCAGGCUUCCCACUGUCACUCAGCAAGAGCUUCGCAUGAGAAAGCAAAAUAUGAUCUCCAUGGAAACCCAGACACCACCAAAAGCAAAUAUCAGCCAGACAUCCUUGAAGAGGCAGUUCAAUGCCACUGGAAGAAGACUAUCUAAGGAGGAAGCAACAUACGUCCACCCUCCUUGUGUAGCCAUUGAGGAUUGUAUUUAACAAUUAAUAAAACUCUGGGACUCUGGUGCUCUUUUAGCUGUUUUUUUUUAUUCAAAGAAAGGGAGCCAAACUAUAAAAACCAAAGUCACUGGGCCCUAUUUUCAAUCACCACACUGAGCAUCGUAGUACCUGCUGCGUUUUCCAUCAUGAAAGUGUCCCACAGCCUUCUGGUGGCUUGCUCAGUUCCAGCUUAUGCUGCAGUCUCAGAAGCACCCUCUUGCAAGUCUGGACAGAACACGCAUGAGAGCACCCUACCGAGGAGAGGACGUCUGUGAGAGCAAGGUGACCGUGUCAGACAAUUGCAUUUCCUGUCUGAUGUACUGUCAGCAGAGACACAGCAUGAUCCCAUAGAUAGGGCACUGAGCUGGAAGUCAGGAGAUCUGGGUUCAGCUUCUGCAACUGACCAGCUUGGGUGACCAUGGGCACAUUGCCCAUCUCUGUGCUUGUCAACAAUUCCUCCCAAGCACCCCUUGCAACUAGGUACCCUAACACCAGGGUUAUCACCCCACUUCCCUCUCAGGCUCCUAAGGACUCCAUGCCAAGCCCCAUUGACACAGUAAAACCCUAGCUUGGGGCUAGUUUGUAACAAAACCUCGUGCAAAGAGUCCACAGCAAAAGCCUCAAAACAUAUUGUCCAUCUAUCACACCCAGUGCAAAUAACCUUUAGCUUUCAGUUUGUCACCAUAGCACAGCGCUUCUCAAACUUUUUUCCCGUGGACCACUUGAAAAUUGCUGAGGGUCUCAGCAGACCACUUAAUGAUCUUUCCAAAUGUUGUUUGUACCAUUAGCUAAAUAUUGUAAAGUGCUUUGAAUAAAAGCUAUGUAUAAAAAAAAUUAUACUAAUUAAUUUUUUUUGUUCUACAAAUAAAAGCACAGAACUCAUUUUAA